Molecule: long non-coding RNA, 1130 nt
Organism: Pogoniulus pusillus (Red-fronted tinkerbird)
Lineage: Eukaryota; Metazoa; Chordata; Aves; Piciformes; Lybiidae
Exons: 3
Source: RefSeq, a predicted model, not a curated record
AGCUAUAUUUACAUGACAUAUUCAUAUGCAAAUCUAUCUUGAGAACUCCAUUUGAGACAUCUGUGACUGUGGCUACAUCAUAAGUGAUCAGACACCCAAGGAAAUGGCUGUGGGCUGUGGUACUUGUGUAGUUUGGAGCUAGGAGCUGUCUUUUACAACCUGUUGCUAAUAUGAUGAUGCUUAACUGCAUCCCAAGGGAGAAACACAUUCCCACCUCAUAACUUGGUAGCAUUAGGUGCUAGAUGAAGUGCCUGAUGAUUUUAUGAGGAACAAACUUCAGCCCCUCAUCCCUGAGUACAAAUUGGGUAAAGUUUUACCAAAGCCACUACCCAGAUAUCCUCAUUUGGGACACCUAAGUAUAUUGAUCUUCUGCCUUUUGAAACAGCAUCAAGGAAGUCAAGCUAUGAGGGAGACCACUUGCAUGGUAGUACUGUAAGAGAGAAGCAAGUUGCCAGUCUUUGGCUAUCCCACUGCAAGAGGCUCACCACCAUUCCUACGCUGCUGUAGCAUUUGUUGCUCUUCUGAAGGGCUCAAGCCAAGGAGGUUAUGGCAUCAUUCCUGCGUUUGCUUGGGAUCUCCACAGUCUUGAUAGCUGAUCGCUGAGAAGCUGGUUGAUGAACGGUGGAGUCAUAUUUACCAGAAAGCUGCUUAACAACAGUCCCAAGCAAAGAAGAAGAAAAAGCCCUUCCCUGAUCGCCGUGAGUUUAACUCUUGUAUUGUAAUCUUGUGAAUUCUGUUAGUCCCAUUCCUCAGCAACUUACACUUCAGACAGCAGAUGAAUGGUGGACCUUUGCUGAUAGUUGUAAUCGUUGCUAGGGGACAGUCUGAGGGAGGUGAAUCAUGCCAUUUACAGUCAGCCUAAAGGAACAUUUGGAAAUGCCUGAGCUUAGAAAUUUCCUUCCAUGGUCUGCGCUGCUCAGAGCAGAGUACUUUGUGCCUGUGGAGUGAGUUUCACAGCUACAGAUGAUGAUGAUAGUAAACAUUAACCAUCUUGGUGUCUUUUUUUGCUUGUGUGUGUUUUAAAUUGUUGUGGUGCCUCUUACUUAUUUGAUAAUUAUUAUUUUAAUAAAAAAAAAACCCUGCAAAUGGUAUGAAAAAUGGUAAGAAAGUUGUUGCAAAUCAUACUACAA